Pipistrellus kuhlii (Kuhl's pipistrelle) is the source of this 224-nucleotide long non-coding RNA. RefSeq lists it as uncharacterized. The transcript has 3 exons. NCBI's taxonomy places the organism in Eukaryota, Metazoa, Chordata, Mammalia, Chiroptera, Vespertilionidae. The record is from RefSeq and is a predicted model, not a curated record.
CACAGCUCUCCCCAUGUCUCUUCCCAGGGUCACAGAUAUUGUGCCUCUCCCUCUUCCUCUGCCCUUGGAUGAUGUCAUUUCUCAACUGCUGACAGUUGCCUUGAAGGAGAAGACCAAAGAAUCAACAUCAUGUGACAUUGAUCUCAGUGAUUUCAGCGAAUGCAACAACUAGAGACCUUCAGGCAGCAAACUAAACCCAGCACGUGGGCUACCAAAGCAUUUCC